GAUGAACGCUGGCGGCGUGCUUAACACAUGCAAGUCGAACGGGAUCGGCUGGAGCUUGCUCCGGCCGUGAGAGUGGCGAACGGGUGAGUAAUGCGUGACCGACCUGCCCCAUACACCGGAAUAGCUCCUGGAAACGGGUGGUAAUGCCGGAUGCUCCGACAUGACGCAUGUCGUGUUGGGAAAGAUUCAUCGGUAUGGGAUGGGGUCGCGUCCUAUCAGGUAGUCGGCGGGGUAACGGCCCACCGAGCCUACGACGGGUAGCCGGCCUGAGAGGGCGACCGGCCACAUUGGGACUGAGGUACGGCCCAGACUCCUACGGGAGGCAGCAGUGGGGAAUAUUGCACAAUGGGCGCAAGCCUGAUGCAGCGACGCCGCGUGCGGGAUGACGGCCUUCGGGUUGUAAACCGCUUUUGACUGGGAGCAAGCCCU
This 429-nucleotide ribosomal RNA is filed under the name uncultured bacterium. RNAcentral's name for it is "bacterial SSU rRNA". It matches the Rfam family "Bacterial small subunit ribosomal RNA", at positions 28 to 454 of the family's 1533-position model. The record is from RNAcentral.